AUUGAACGCUGGCGGCAGGCCUAACACAUGCAAGUCGGACGGUAGCACAGAGGAGCUUGCUCCUCGGGUGACGAGUGGCGGACGGGUGAGUAAUGUCUGGGGAUCUGCCCGAUAGAGGGGGAUAACCACUGGAAACGGUGGCUAAUACCGCAUAACGUCGCAAGACCAAAGAGGGGGACCUUCGGGCCUCUCACUAUCGGAUGAACCCAGAUGGGAUUAGCUAGUAGGCGGGGUAAUGGCCCACCUAGGCGACGAUCCCUAGCUGGUCUGCGAGGAUGACCAGCCACACUGGAACUGAGACACGGUCCAGACUCCUACGGGAGGCAGCAGUGGGGAAUAUUGCACAAUGGGCGCAAGCCUGAUGCAGCCAUGCCGCGUGUAUGAAGAAGGCCUUCGGGUUGUAAAGUACUUUCAGCGGGGAGGAAGGCGGUGAGGUUAAUAACCUUGCCGAUUGACGUUACCCGCAGAAGAAGCACCGGCUAACUCCGUGCCAGCCGCCGCAGUAA
This 506-nucleotide ribosomal RNA is filed under the name uncultured bacterium. Its description in RNAcentral is "partial 16S ribosomal RNA". It matches the Rfam family "Bacterial small subunit ribosomal RNA", at positions 29 to 523 of the family's 1533-position model. The record is from RNAcentral.